Long non-coding RNA from Meleagris gallopavo (turkey), 1343 nucleotides. RefSeq lists it as uncharacterized. The record is from RefSeq and is a predicted model, not a curated record. NCBI's taxonomy places the organism in Eukaryota, Metazoa, Chordata, Aves, Galliformes, Phasianidae.
UGCAGGCACAGUGAAGUACAAGGUUAGAAUCUGAAACAAUUCUGACAAAUUGGAAGAGUAGCCUGGGAAAAUGGAUGUGAUUCAGUAAAGAUAAACAUGAAGUUUUACACUAGAUAGGAACAAUCAUCUGCACAGAGAAUGAAGAGCAUCUGGCUAAAGAUCUGGGAGAUGUAGGAAUUGUGGAGUGCAUCUAAAAUCUCAAUAUCAUGCUGCCCCAGAUGACCAGAGGCCCACUCCUGUUCUGAUUUAAGUACAUGGAAGCAGUCAUAUUGGCUUCAGCGGUGUGAGAUCAAAUCUCCUAUGGUUCCCAAGCACCAGAGUUACACUUUGAUCCAUUUCUUACUAACAAUACACAACUGUUCCGGCUGCAACAAAAUUAAAGAGUAACAAAAGGCAAGCACUGAAGCAGCAGAAGUAUGAGACCUCCUCUGUUAAAAUUCAAAUGGAUCUUCAAGGAUCAAGACUAGAUAUGCAGGACUUUAGUGCAUAUAUCACUGACUAUUACAGAUAAUGUGAUACUUUGGUAUAAAUGAUGUUUCAUUUCAUGGUUGGUCAGUCUCACUUCUGCAAAGUUUCAAUGACACCCAAAACUAAAAGCAAAUAUUUGCAAUUCCCAGUCUAUUUCCAGGGAAUAAUUUAUUGGGAAUAACACCUCUAGUUGCUCUCCAUCUAGCAUUAUCUCUAUGUUAAAAUUGCCCUGUUUCUAUCCUAAACAUUUUCCUUUGGAGUGUUACUGACUUUGAUGUACUUCAUGUACACACAUGUACACACAUGUAUUUCAAUGCUGCAUAGUAUAAAUGAACAUCAAUUUCCAAUGAAAAGUGUGACAUGAGACAGUAGUGUGCUCUUGUAGCCUGGAAAGCCAAAAGUAUCCUGGGCUGCAUCAAAAGAGGAGUGGACAGCAAGGAGAGGAAGGUGAUUGUCCACCUUCUACUCUACCGUUGUGAGGCCCCAUCUAGAGUAAUGCAUCCAGGCCUGGGGCUCCCAGCACAGUAAUGAUGUGGAGCUGCUGGAGGGUCUCUAGAGGUGGGCCACAAAAGUGAUCAUAGAGUUGAAGCUUCUCUUCUACUAAUAAUGGCUGAGGGAGCUGGGCUUGUUCAGUGUAGAGAAAGGAAGGCUCUGGGGAGAUCUCAUUGUGUCCUUCCAGUACUUAAAAGGAACUUAUAAGUAGGAGAGUGGCUGACUUUACAUGAUCUUAUAGUGACUGGACAAGGGAAAAAGAUUUUGAAGAAAAAGAGAAGAAAUUAAGUUAGAUUUUAGGGGAAAAUUUUUUACCAGGAGGGUGGUGAGGCACUGGUGCAAGCUGCCAAGAGAAGCUGUGGGUGCCCCAUCCCUGGAGGUGU